UUAUACCUACUUACCGCUUGUAUAUAGUUGUAUUUAUUGAUAUAUAUAUAUAUACUUAAUACUUAUAUAUAUAUUGAUAUAUACGCGUAUACAUAAUACAUAAUUAUAUAUAUAGCGCAUGUCUCCGUUGUAGAAAAUAAUAAUUGUUGUAAUGCAGUUAUUAAAAAAAAAAAAUCUCGGUGCAUCAGUUUUCUGUAUAUGGUAUCAUACCGACGGACAAGGCAAUUAUAUAAAUGAAAAGAUACACACGAAUGAUAUACAAAACGCACGGCUUAUAUUCGCCGCUAUACAUCAUAUAGAUAUAUACGCGCAUUGUAAAAAGAUACUAUAUUUUUUGAACUGUAUAUGUAUAUGUAACUAUAUGGUUUGUCGUAGAUAGAGACGAUAGAGCAUAAUGUUCAAAUCGUAUAUAAUUUACACGAUUAUGUGCCUGUAAUGCGUAAUACAUUCAAUUUGUAUAUGAAUAAGUUAUACAUUAAAUACGGCACUGCAGUAUACUUUGAUCGAUUGAUUUUUAUAAUGUACUAUACAUAGUAGGUAUAUACGUACACCGUUACAAUAGAAUACUCACGUAUUGAAUACGUGUACAUUAGAUAUAACUUGGUCUGCUGACUGCUUUGGAUCAUUUAGGAAUGAUUUUAAUGUUGUAUGAGAGUACGAAUUUCUAGUUAUACUGAAAACGAUAUGUUUAUAAAAAUCGAGUCGUAUUCAGUUAUAGACUUUACAAGGUCAAAAUGGAGGGACUUGACCACUGGAGUGUGUUUGCCUGUUUAUUUGAUUAGCGGUUAUUUUAACAAAACGUAUAAUAUGAUUGAUACAUAGGUAUAUAUGAUUUGUAUGUAUUUUGUAAUGAAUAUGUAAACAAAGGGGGAAAAAGGAAUCAAGACGAAGCUUUAUUCGCAUCUGCAGAUAUAGUGAAUUUUAAUAAAAAGUUAAAAACUAUCGUUUUGCAAUAAAUAUUAAUUAUGAUCAUAAUAAUAUUAUUAUAUAAUUAAGUUUAUGUUUUUGGACAGUGGACCUAUAGUGUAAUGUUGUUUUAAAAAUGGAAGACUUUAACGAUUGGUAACAACGAAGCCAAAUAUAUUACGACGUACAAUAAUUAUAUCAAGAUAAUUCGUAAGAAGAAGACUUUUCUAAUGGGCAGUAAAAGUUGACAGUUAAUUUGGAAGUAAUUUUUUCCACAACUUUCGAUUCAUACAAUUAUUUUCAGCUCUUUCAUAGGACACAUUAUUGAGCAGUGGACGAUCAGUUCUAAAAACUUUAUACGUACAUCUCUAUAAACCCAUUAGGAAUGAAUACUAUAAUGUCACUUUAAAGUGGUUAUAGCUUUUUUUUAGAAUCUUUAUGAAAAUCUAGUUUAUAUUUAUUAUGCUCUUUGACGAUACCGCGAAGUCCUGGAUGGUUACCUGCACUUUGACGAUCCAGUUACAAGUAGGAACUUUUUAGGAAGCUGGUAUGCAAGAUACACUAAAGCCUCCAAAAUUGAUCUCGGGCCACAUUGUGCUGCAUUAGGAUUAAUUUCUUUACCAAACUAAUGACAUUCGCAAAACCUGCAUUACCUACUUGGGCGUUCAACUGAAAUUACUAAUUGGUUUCUCGUCGAAGAAAAAACUAAUUCAAGAUUAUACCUGCGUACACAAACGUGACAUCAGAAGUCCGGAACUAUAAGAAAUUCAGACGUUAUUUUGGCAACUGUAAGGACUGUAACCAAUACUCAAUCAUUCGAUGAAGAAGAGAAACAAUAAUGUACUGAGCCAAAAAUACAAACACGGAUUCAUUAUAAAGAAUUGAGGUGAUUUGUUGAAAACUAACUAGCAGAGAUCAGUUUGAAGCUUUAAAUAAAGUUUAACAAUUUACUAAUACUUCGAUCAACGGCAAAACAUUAAACAAAAAUAAAUACUUUUCUAAA
This is a long non-coding RNA of Aphis gossypii (cotton aphid), 1909 nucleotides long. RefSeq lists it as uncharacterized. NCBI's taxonomy places the organism in Eukaryota, Metazoa, Arthropoda, Insecta, Hemiptera, Aphididae. The transcript is spliced from 6 exons. The record is from RefSeq and is a predicted model, not a curated record.